AGUCGAGCGGACCGACGGGAGCUUGCUCCCUUAGGUCAGCGGCGGACGGGUGAGUAACACGUGGGUAACCUGCCUGUAAGACUGGGAUAACUCCGGGAAACCGGGGCUAAUACCGGAUGCUUGAUUGAACCGCAGGGUUCAAUYMUAAAAGGKGGCUUUUARCUACCACUUDCMGAUGGACCCSCGGCGCAAUARCUAGUUGGKGAGGUAACGGCUCMCCMAGGSSACSAWGCSUARCCSAMCUGARAGGGUGAUCGGCCMCMCUGGGACUGARACMCGGCCCAGACUCCUACGGGAGGCAGCARUARGGAAUCUUCCSCAAUGGACSAAAGUCUGACGGARCAACMCCSCGUGAGUGAUGAAGGUUUUCSGAWCSUAAAACUCUGUUGUUAGGGAARAACAAGUACCGUUCSAAUARGGSGGUACCUUGACGGUACCUAACCARAAAGCCACGGCUAACUACGUGCCARCAGCCGCGGUAAUACGUARGUGGCAAGCGUUGUCCGGAAUUAUUGGGCGUAAAGCGCGCGCAGGCGGUUUCUUAAGUCUGAUGUGAAAGCCCCCGGCUCAACCGGGGAGGGUCAUUGGAAACUGGGGAACUUGAGUGCAGAARAAGAAAGUGGAAUUCCACGUGUAGCGGUGAAAUGCGUARAGAUGUGGAGGAACACCAGUGGCGAAGGCGACUCUCUGGUCUGUAACUGACGCUGAAGCGCGAAAGCGUGGGGAGCGAACAGGAUUAGAUACCCUGGUAGUCCACGCCGUAAACGAUGAGUGCUAAGUGUUAGAGGGUUUCCGCCCUUUAGUGCUGCAGCAAACGCAUUAAGCACUCCGCCUGGGGAGUACGGUCGCAAGACUGAAACUCAAAGGAAUUGACGGGGGCCCGCACAAGCGGUGGAGCAUGUGGUUUAAUUCGAAGCAACGCGAAGAACCUUACCAGGUCUUGACAUCCUCUGACAACCCUAGAGAUAGGGCUUCCCCUUCGGGGGCARAGUGACAGGUGGUGCAUGGUUGUCGUCAGCUCGUGUCGUGAGAUGUUGGGUUAAGUCCCGCAACGAGCGCAACCCUUGAUCUUAGUUGCCAGCAUUCAGUUGGGCACUCUAAGGUGACUGCCGGUGACAAACCGGAGGAAGGUGGGGAUGACGUCAAAUCAUCAUGCCCCUUAUGACCUGGGCUAC
RNAcentral lists this ribosomal RNA (1175 nucleotides) under Bacillus sp. (in: firmicutes). Its description in RNAcentral is "Bacillus sp. (in: Bacteria) partial 16S ribosomal RNA". It matches the Rfam family "Bacterial small subunit ribosomal RNA", at positions 60 to 1217 of the family's 1533-position model. The record is from RNAcentral. Lineage: Bacteria; Bacillati; Bacillota; Bacilli; Caryophanales; Bacillaceae.